This 79-nucleotide transfer RNA is filed under the name Acidithiobacillus ferrooxidans ATCC 23270. RNAcentral describes it as "tRNA-Arg". It matches the Rfam family "tRNA". Rfam says of the family: Transfer RNA (tRNA) molecules are approximately 80 nucleotides in length. The record is from RNAcentral. Lineage: Bacteria; Pseudomonadati; Pseudomonadota; Acidithiobacillia; Acidithiobacillales; Acidithiobacillaceae.
UGCGCCUGUAGCUCAACCGGAUAGAGCAACGGCCUUCUAAGCCGUAGGUCGGGGGUUCGAGUCCCUCCAGGCGCACCAU